RNAcentral lists this transfer RNA (1000 nucleotides) under Sarcophilus harrisii (Tasmanian devil). RNAcentral's name for it is "lncRNA (ENSSHAG00000026716.1)". The stretch from base 570 to 643 matches the Rfam family "tRNA". Lineage: Eukaryota; Metazoa; Chordata; Mammalia; Dasyuromorphia; Dasyuridae. The record is from RNAcentral.
UGCUGCGUUUCCCUUUUAUUCUAUACCGCUUGCAUGCCGUCCGCUCCGUGUGACUGAGAGCUGUUUGAGAACCCGGCAUACAGCAAGCACUUAAUGCAUGCUUAUUGACUGGUAAAUGUGUGGCACCUUCCAGAAUGGCAGCCUUCAUUUAUAGAAGGCUUAUACGUUUUUAACUACAUUGCGCUUCUCUCUCCUUAGAAGAGGCGUGGCGGGAGGCGGCUUUUUUAGUUACAAUGUAACGCAAAAAUAGCAGAAGCGAGGAUACCCUUGGAAGAGGCGCGGGGCCUGCCGUGGCGUUGCUGCUUUGGGGAAGCGCCCUCCUUAUCCCCCGCAGGGCUCCCGGGCUCGCCCGCUCCACCGCCGCGGGCCACACCAGCCUCCGGCUUCUUCUCCCAUUAUCCGAGUCAGAACAGUUGCGUCUUCUCCAAAUGAUUACUGAAUGACACCAAGAUUACUUAGAAAAACAAUAACAGUGCCAGCCACGGCUUCGAAAACUAAAGAAAAAAGACCAACAAACAGAAGCGUCUGAGUCUUCUACUAGACGCCAAGGAGACGCGCUCACGAGCAGUGGCCGGUUAGCUCAGUUGGUUAGAGCGUGGUGCUAAUAACGCCAAGGUCGCGGGUUCGAUCCCCGUACGGGCCACGGGAAACAGGUAGUUUUUUUUCUUUCAAAUUUUCCCAAACCAGUGCAAAAAGUGAAAUGAACAAAAGUCAUUCAAGGCAUACGGAGUACUUGAAUUUAAAAGCCUGAUCUACCUCGUUUAGAUGUGGCUGUUUUCUCCGAAGUCGUCAGAGAGGGAAGGAAUGCAUACACCACGGAGGGAAAAAACCUUUAAACCUUGAGGUCUUCUAAACUAUCUCCGGCCCUGCCUAGCUUCGGCCUCCGUUACCGAGUACCUAAGGGUUAGUGUUUAUUGCCCCGAGUUGCCCAAGUGUUCCUCGUUCUCCAAAUCAGCUUAGGGCUCCCCAGUCAGAAGCGCAUGCCAGCCUCGGUCCCAAC